AGUGAACGCUGGCGGUAGGCCUAACACAUGCAAGUCGAACGGCAGCACAGUAAGAGCUUGCUCUUACGGGUGGCGAGUGGCGGACGGGUGAGGAAUACAUCGGAAUCUACUUUUUCGUGGGGGAUAACGUAGGGAAACUUACGCUAAUACCGCAUACGACCUACGGGUGAAAGCAGGGGAUCUUCGGACCUUGCGCGAUUGAAUGAGCCGAUGUCGGAUUAGCUAGUUGGCGGGGUAAAGGCCCACCAAGGCGACGAUCCGUAGCUGGUCUGAGAGGAUGAUCAGCCACACUGGAACUGAGACACGGUCCAGACUCCUACGGGAGGCAGCAGUGGGGAAUAUUGGACAAUGGGCGCAAGCCUGAUGAAGCCAUGCCGCGUGUAUGAAGAAGGCCUUCGGGUUGUAAAGCUCUUUUGGCGGGGAAGAAAGGAGGAAAGUUAAUACCUUUGUUCAUUGACGUUACCCGAAGAAGAAGCACCGGCUAACUCCGUG
Molecule: ribosomal RNA, 492 nt
Filed under: uncultured bacterium
Lineage: Bacteria
Description: partial 16S ribosomal RNA
Rfam family: Bacterial small subunit ribosomal RNA
Source: RNAcentral